GACGAACGCUGGCGGCGUGCUUAACACAUGCAAGUCGAACGGAAAGGCCCUGCUUUUGUGGGGUGCUCGAGUGGCGAACGGGUGAGUAGCACGUGAGUAACCUGCCCUUGACUUUGGGAUAACUUCAGGAAACUGGGGCUAAUACCGGAUAGGAGCUCCUGCUGCAUGGUGGGGGUUGGAGAGUUUCGGCGGUUGGGGAUGGACUCGCGGCUUAUCAGCUUGUUGGUGGGGUAGUGGCUUACCAAGGCUUUGACGGGUAGCCGGCCUGAGAGGGUGACCGGCCACAUUGGGACUGAGAUACGGCCCAGACUCCUACGGGAGGCAGCAGUGGGGAAUAUUGCACAAUGGGCGGAAGCCUGAUGCAGCAACGCCGCGUGCGGGAUGACGGCCUUCGGGUUGUAAACCGCUUUCGCCUGUGACGAAGCGUGAGUGACGGUAAUGGGUAAAGAAGCACCGGCUAACUACGUG
RNAcentral lists this ribosomal RNA (468 nucleotides) under uncultured bacterium. RNAcentral describes it as "partial 16S ribosomal RNA". It matches the Rfam family "Bacterial small subunit ribosomal RNA", at positions 28 to 507 of the family's 1533-position model. The record is from RNAcentral.